Non-coding RNA from Blumeria graminis, 74 nucleotides. Lineage: Eukaryota; Fungi; Ascomycota; Leotiomycetes; Helotiales; Erysiphaceae. The record is from Rfam.
GGUCGCUUAGCUCAGUUGGUUAGAGCGUGGUGCUAAUAACGCCAAGGCCGCGAGUUCGACCCACGUAGUGACCA